This 22-nucleotide microRNA is filed under the name Ornithorhynchus anatinus (platypus). RNAcentral describes it as "oan-miR-1420a-3p". Lineage: Eukaryota; Metazoa; Chordata; Mammalia; Monotremata; Ornithorhynchidae. The record is from miRBase by way of RNAcentral.
AAAGUGCUUCCUGUUCGGAUAA